GUUCCUGUAGUUAAGGUUUAUUAACGGCAGUUUUUCAAGCUGCAGAGCUCGGAGAAAGGCCGAGUGGGAAUU
This 72-nucleotide transfer RNA is filed under the name Leptopoecile sophiae. RNAcentral describes it as "tRNA-Glu". The record is from RNAcentral. Lineage: Eukaryota; Metazoa; Chordata; Aves; Passeriformes; Sylviidae.